CAAUAAACAAGCAUUAAAUUAUCUAAAAACUGAACCACAAAGUUGUUCAUUACAGUAGGGAUUCCAUUUUGUAAUCCCAAAAAGUUGCAACAAAAUACAAGUUCAACAAUUUUCACAAAAUGAUAGAGCAUCCAUUAUCACCAUCAAAUAUUGAACAUUCCCUUGUCUUAAUACAAAACAUGGCAAUAUCAAAUUUUCAUUGUUGUGCCUUGCCAUUACCCUUUUUUGUCUUAAGUUGAUCCACUCUAAACCCCAACUGCUUUCAAGCUGAACAGGUGCGCUUUCAACCGGUUUAGUCCAAUCUUGCUCUGUCUGAAGCUUGUCCAUUCUGUCGAAGAUCCCAGGGCCUCGAAGCGUCAUCUCUGCAAGAAGAUGUCUGAAAAAUCUUGUUCGAGGAUUAGAUGGAGUAUUCAAAAUGAGACUUUUGACUAUUAAUUCACCNNNNN
This 446-nucleotide long non-coding RNA is filed under the name Capsicum annuum. RNAcentral describes it as "long non-coding RNA (CANN_LNC022175)". Lineage: Eukaryota; Viridiplantae; Streptophyta; Magnoliopsida; Solanales; Solanaceae. The record is from RNAcentral.